This 1470-nucleotide long non-coding RNA is filed under the name Malus domestica (apple). RNAcentral describes it as "long non-coding RNA (MDOM_LNC015194)". The record is from RNAcentral. Lineage: Eukaryota; Viridiplantae; Streptophyta; Magnoliopsida; Rosales; Rosaceae.
GCUACCUUCUCUUUUAUGAAUCAGUAGGAUUUCGAGUUUGUUACAUAUGCCUCCAAAUCAUUCAGCGAUUAUCCACGUAUGGCGUCUAAACAUCUUGUUAUUAGUAGAUACUAAUCACAAUCGUUGUGCAUAAACAACUUUGAAUCUUUGAUUAUAUUAUUUUAACAAUCAGUAUAUAUAUCACAACGAUUACGAGGUUUUGCACUCCAAUCCAUCUCAUUUUCUUGAAGAAAUAAUAAUCAUGCAUAAUCAUCUAAAGUGCUUUUGAACAACUUUGAAUAGCUAAUUAAACGGAUUGCUAAUUAACAACUAACGAAUGGUGGUGAUUCCGCUUUUGAACCUAUACCUAAGAAUAACAUGACUAAAAGAGCUAACCCCACGAGUGAACAAAUAAUUUUGAUCCUAUCCAAAAUAACUAGCAUCCAAAUUCCAGUUCGAUCCAUUUCAAGUUUAGAUGCAAUGUGGAGGAUGAUUCUAUCUGAAUUUCUGGAAAGCCAAGAGUGCGUUGUGCAUCCCCAUCUAAUUAAAAGACAAAAAGUCGCAAGUAAACUGAAGCAAUUGCAUGUCCUGUGGUUUCGACAUGUAGCCAUAUUUUAACGUUGGGAUCAUCACCACAGACAAAUCUUCUUAACUGCAUCCCAAAACCAAAAGCUAGUUGCUCUAUUUUCAUGGACAGCUGGUGUCCAUACAACUAAUUACCAAAAUUGUUGUUUACGGAUUUGGAUCCUCUCCUGAGCCUAAGGAGAGGAUCCUCCUGAUCAAGACACGUGAACCGUUGAAUCUUCAUUUAAUGGCUAUAAUUACUAUAACUUUAAAGGAACCCUUUUGUUUGUAGCUGUUGGAUCGGCCCACAUGUCUUGGUCAAGAGGAUCCUCUCCUUGGGCUCAGGAGAAUAUCCAAAUCCGUUGUUUACUACCUUAAUCCAAAUCCGUUGAAUUUAAUACUUCUCACUUAUAUAUAAAACUAGCAUCACGUUUUAUAACUAUUAACUUAACCCCUAACCAGAGAUAAAAUUUCAUAACCUAAAUAACUCAGGAUAGAUCUCUAUGAUCCGUAGUGGAUUCCAGGGGAAGGGCAAACCUAACCUUGCAGUAGGAAGGAGGUCUUUGAUGGGACGGUUUCAAAUAGGACUGAACGGAGGAUAAAUUCAGUGAUCCGAUAUUUUUGGGGAUUCAUCACACCUUAAACCCUAAAACCAACUCCAAUGAGUGGGGUUAAAGCCUAAAAUUUAGGUUCUAACCUAAAAACAAUUUUUCUCCUCCAAUAGUUUUGGUUAAAAUUUUAGAUCGAGAUUAUUAAAAAAUGAAUUUAGUCUAAAUUUUUUUGGUAACUUUUUAAAAAUAAAAUUUAUAUUGAUUAUCCUAAUUUUUUUUUUGAACAUUUUAACCCAAAAAUAUUUAGAUUCUGAUAAAUAAUCAUUUAGUUAUUGGAUUUAUUUUUGGACUGUCACAUCUUUUAUUUUAUCUUUAG